RNAcentral lists this ribosomal RNA (570 nucleotides) under Parabacteroides distasonis. Its description in RNAcentral is "bacterial SSU rRNA". It matches the Rfam family "Bacterial small subunit ribosomal RNA", at positions 1 to 557 of the family's 1533-position model. Lineage: Bacteria; Pseudomonadati; Bacteroidota; Bacteroidia; Bacteroidales; Tannerellaceae. The record is from RNAcentral.
CAAUUUAAACAACGAAGAGUUUGAUCCUGGCUCAGGAUGAACGCUAGCGACAGGCUUAACACAUGCAAGUCGAGGGGCAGCACAGGUAGCAAUACCGGGUGGCGACCGGCGCACGGGUGAGUAACGCGUAUGCAACUUACCUAUCAGAGGGGGAUAACCCGGCGAAAGUCGGACUAAUACCGCAUGAAGCAGGGGCCCCGCAUGGGGAUAUUUGCUAAAGAUUCAUCGCUGAUAGAUAGGCAUGCGUUCCAUUAGGCAGUUGGCGGGGUAACGGCCCACCAAACCGACGAUGGAUAGGGGUUCUGAGAGGAAGGUCCCCCACAUUGGUACUGAGACACGGACCAAACUCCUACGGGAGGCAGCAGUGAGGAAUAUUGGUCAAUGGCCGAGAGGCUGAACCAGCCAAGUCGCGUGAGGGAUGAAGGUUCUAUGGAUCGUAAACCUCUUUUAUAAGGGAAUAAAGUGCGGGACGUGUCCCGUUUUGUAUGUACCUUAUGAAUAAGGAUCGGCUAACUCCGUGCCAGCAGCCGCGGUAAUACGGAGGAUCCGAGCGUUAUCCGGAUUUAUUGG